This is a long non-coding RNA of Photinus pyralis (common eastern firefly), 748 nucleotides long. RefSeq lists it as uncharacterized. The record is from RefSeq and is a predicted model, not a curated record. NCBI's taxonomy places the organism in Eukaryota, Metazoa, Arthropoda, Insecta, Coleoptera, Lampyridae. The transcript is spliced from 2 exons.
UGAUAGCUACAUUACUGUUGAAAGUAUGCAUGCGGUACCGUUAUUGCCAUUGUUGAAAUUUUAAUGUAUGAUUUAUUACUCCUAUCUAUAACAUUACCUGAGGUUGUUGCACUGUUCCUUUAGCAAUAACGAUAUUAGUUUCCUGCUUUCUGCUGAGUACAAUGCUUUUAAACAGAUUUCCAGAUUCUGCAAUAUUAAAUACAAAACACAAACAUAUGCAAGGGUACUGUGCGACUCCAUUAUGCACCUUUUGCCUACUCAACAAGGCUUUAAAAAUUGUUUGUGAAAGGGCACUCUCAAUUACGUUUUCCUACUGAAGCUGCCCAUUUGAUUAUUACAGGGAGUAGCAUACUAUUCGAUGUGAAAGGGGGCUCAAUAGUAGUCAGUGUGGCACCCCAUUCUCGCCUCUAAAUGAGAUAUCGGUGUCAGGUUUGCAUUAUGUGGUAGCGUGUUUAUAUUGUAGUUGUUAUCUUGAUUCCAAAUACCACUGUACCAUUGUUAACUAUUUACUUCAUUCUGGCAAUACUAAAAUUGGGAACCAAAGAAGUAGUAAUUCAUUGACAGUUUAGAACAAUCAGUGUGCUGUGAACAUUCAAGAAACUCCCCCUUAGUACCUUAAUGUGUACGUAAUAGUUUGAAAGUGUUGAAAGUGUACGUAGUAUAAUUAAGUAAAGUAAAGAUUUGAAAUGUGUGGUUAUAAUAACAUUAGGAACCAACUAAUAAAAUGCUAGUCAUUCGAUGAUAAUUA